This 456-nucleotide long non-coding RNA is filed under the name Rattus norvegicus (Norway rat). Its description in RNAcentral is "long non-coding RNA NONRATT006663". The record is from RNAcentral. Lineage: Eukaryota; Metazoa; Chordata; Mammalia; Rodentia; Muridae.
GAGUCAGGAAGCAGGCCUUGCAUGUGUCCCAGACUUAACUACUCAAAGAUUCGGCCCUGGACUCAGUGCUCAGAACCAGAUCUGGCCGUAGAAGAGAAUCUGACUGUUGAUGAUCUCAGGAGGGAAGCCAUUACUGUUGUUCGACAGAGUGUAGGUAACAGUUCCGUAGCAGGUAACUUCCACGUGGAGCCUCACCCAGUCAGGGCCCUUCUCCUAAAGAGAGAGCGUUCUUGCCUCCCAUUGCCUUCACUCUGCUUCUACAACAAUCAUGCUUGCCUUACUACUCGGUCUUUGCAAAUAGUCCCAGUUGCUUGGUAGUGCACUUAGAGAUUUCUAGGCUCCCGGGGUUUUAUAGAAUGUGAGCCCUGGUGGGCAGGGUUGGGGAAAUCUGUCCUUUGCUAGAUGCCGCUUGUAACAGACUUGGUGUCCAGGAUCAAUAAUAAACGGUGUACGGAG